This is a long non-coding RNA of Schistocerca gregaria, 1321 nucleotides long. RefSeq lists it as uncharacterized. NCBI's taxonomy places the organism in Eukaryota, Metazoa, Arthropoda, Insecta, Orthoptera, Acrididae. The transcript is spliced from 2 exons. The record is from RefSeq and is a predicted model, not a curated record.
AUUUAUUUUAUUAUAUUUAUUUUUUGUUUAUUUAAUUAUUUAAUAUAAGUAAUUUUAUUGUAUUUUUGUCUUAGUAUAGUUUAUAGAAUUGAUUUUUUAAAUUAUAGUGUAUUGGUAAUGUAAGUGUUUUAUGAAAUAUUAUUUUAAAUUUUUUUAAGUAGAUUUUAUUUAUUGUACCUUUUGUAUCAGAGUUUAUCAAAAUUUUAGUAUUUAUUUUACUUGUCUCGAUUUGGGUUGAUUUAUAAAUAAUUUAUAGUUAAUGUAUCAUAAUUAUUAUUAAAUUAUGUAUAGAAAUGAGAUGUUAAUCGUUUCCCAAGUUAUCUAGUUUCUUAAGAAAAAAUUUAAUUUUUUAAAGUUAUUUGUUUUUAUUUAAUUUUUUAAGUAAAAAUAUUAACUUAUUUAUUCUUUAAGGGAUAAGCUUUGAAGUUAAUAACCUAUAAUUUAUUUUAUAGAAAUAUAAUAGUAAGCUUUAAACUAGCUAUCUUUAAGAUUACGUUUUAGUUCAUUAUAUUUUAUCUUGAUUUUAUAAAUAUUUUAGGUUUUUUAUUAAGAUUAUUAAUUUAAUUUUAAAAUUUUAGUAAUAAUGAUAGAAUUAGUAUAUUUAUUUGUAUGAAAUUUUUACCUUGUGAACUUAUUAUAAGGAACUAGGCAAAAUUGAUUUCCGCCUGUUUAUCAAAAACAUGUCCUCUUGUUUAUACUUUGAGGUCUGGCCUGCUCACUGAGCGUAUUUUUAAAGAGCCGCGGUAUAUUGACCGUGCAAAGGUAGCAUAAUCAUUUGUCUCUUAAUUAGUGGCUGGAAUGAAUGGCUUGACGAGAAAUCAACUGUCUCUUAAUAAAUUUUUGAAUUUAACUUUUGAGUCAAAAGGCUUAAAUUCUUCUUUAGGACGAGACGACCCUAUAGAGCUUGACAUUUUACUUUUAUAUAGUUUUUUGUUUGUCUUUCUAUAUUUAAUGAUGAUGUUUUGUUGGGGUGACAUGAAGAAUAGAUAAACUCUUCAUUAUUAUAUCAUUUAUUUAUGUUUGUUAUUUUGAUCCAUAAUUUAUGAUCAUAAGAUUAAGUUACCUUAGGGAUAACAGCGUAAUUGUUUUUGAGAGCUCAUAUCGACAAAGCAGACUGCGACCUCGAUGUUGGAUUAAGAAAAAUUUUGGGUGCAGGAGCCCAAUGAUUAGGUCUGUUCGACCUUUAAAUUCUUACUUGAUCUGAGUUCAGACCGGCGUGAGCCAGGUCGGUUUCUAUCCUAAGAUUAUUAAUCCAUAUUAGUACGAAAGGACCAUAUGGUUAAAAUAUUUUUUGUCAUAUUGAUUAAUAUUAAUUUAUUUA